RNAcentral lists this ribosomal RNA (472 nucleotides) under uncultured bacterium. RNAcentral describes it as "partial 16S ribosomal RNA". It matches the Rfam family "Bacterial small subunit ribosomal RNA", at positions 28 to 507 of the family's 1533-position model. The record is from RNAcentral.
GACGAACGCUGGCGGCGUGCUUAACACAUGCAAGUCGAACGCUGAAGCUUGGUGCUUGCACUGGGUGGAUGAGUGGCGAACGGGUGAGUAAUACGUGAGUAACCUGCCCUUGACUCUGGGAUAAGCCUGGGAAACUGGGUCUAAUACUGGAUACGACAUGUCACCGCAUGGUGGUGUGUGGAAAGGGUUUUACUGGUUUUGGAUGGGCUCACGGCCUAUCAGCUUGUUGGUGGGGUAAUGGCUCACCAAGGCGACGACGGGUAGCCGGCCUGAGAGGGUGACCGGCCACACUGGGACUGAGACACGGCCCAGACUCCUACGGGAGGCAGCAGUGGGGAAUAUUGCACAAUGGGCGGAAGCCUGAUGCAGCGACGCCGCGUGAGGGAUGACGGCCUUCGGGUUGUAAACCUCUUUCAGCACGGAAGAAGCGAAAGUGACGGUACGUGCAGAAGAAGCGCCAGCUAACUACGUG